UACAGAGGUGCCAAGCGUUGUUCGGAUUUAUUGGGCGUAAAGGGUGCGUAGGCGGCCAUGCAAGUCGGAUGUGAAAUACCGGAGCCUAACUCCGGAACGGCAUUCGAAACUGCAUGGCUCGAGAACUGGAGAGGUGACUGGAAUUCUCGGUGUAGCAGUGAAAUGCGUAGAUAUCGAGAGGAACACCAGAGGCGAAAGCGAGUCACUGGACAGAUUCUGACGCUGAGGCACGAAAGCUAGGGGAGCAAACGGG
Molecule: ribosomal RNA, 253 nt
Filed under: uncultured bacterium
Lineage: Bacteria
Description: partial 16S ribosomal RNA
Rfam family: Bacterial small subunit ribosomal RNA
Source: RNAcentral